Long non-coding RNA from Aedes aegypti (yellow fever mosquito), 577 nucleotides. RefSeq lists it as uncharacterized. NCBI's taxonomy places the organism in Eukaryota, Metazoa, Arthropoda, Insecta, Diptera, Culicidae. The record is from RefSeq and is a predicted model, not a curated record. The transcript is spliced from 2 exons.
UAAGAUUUCAGAAUAUCAUCAUAAAUCAUUCACAUUUCUAAACCAAUAAAACGCAGCGCACUAUCUGAUCAUCGUCUGUGUUAUCUCCAUGCAUCUUCUCCAUCUUCUCGCAUCUACUUUUUCGAUGCGUAUCCUGACUGUCACUAGUGCAUCUUUCUGUUAUCGCAUCACUAAAACAACAACAUGUUUCUCAUUCGUUCAUACAAGUGCAUUCGAAUGGGAAAAAUACUAAAUUUAUGAUAAUUGUUGUUAGUUUCCUCGUGAAUCGUAAUUGAAAACGGUCCCAGACAGGUCAUACGUAGGUUGUAUUAUUUGGAGGAGUUCCGAAUGCACUAGACACUGGAUUACAGAGGAUCUUCUAGGAGCCUUCACCGGAUUACAGACAGAACCAAAAUAUGAGACGAAAUUUUCAAAAGAGCAAAGGAAGAGUAAAAACAUUCCUUCCGGAUUCAUAGACACGCAAUUGAUAAUAAAGUGACAUGAAUGUCCCUGAAUUAUAUUCGAAACAUUGGUUCCCACAAAACUAUUUUCUAUUGAUUAGAAAUGCAGGAAACAAAUAAAUAUGUAUAAUGUGUAA